GUGCACAUUUCAUUGUCUUUUUUCUUUAUGUUGAGAGAAAAGAUAUUUCUGAUGUGCUAAACAUUAACCUUUGGAGGUUAAUUAGCAGCAUGACUAAUUUAGCCGUUGCUGUCAGUCACCUUCAGACAAAC
RNAcentral lists this small nucleolar RNA (131 nucleotides) under Microcebus murinus (gray mouse lemur). Lineage: Eukaryota; Metazoa; Chordata; Mammalia; Primates; Cheirogaleidae. The record is from RNAcentral.